CGUAGGUGGCAAGCGUUAUCCGGAUUUACUGGGUGUAAAGGGCGCGUAGGCGGGAGAACAAGUCAGAUGUGAAAUGUGGGGGCUUAACCCUCAAGCUGCAUUUGAAACUGUACUUCUUGAGUAUCGGAGAGGCAGGCGGAAUUCCUAGUGUAGCGGUGAAAUGCGUAGAUAUUAGGAGGAACACCAGUGGCGAAGGCGGCCUGCUGGACGACAACUGACGCUGAGGCGCGAAAGCGUGGGGAGCAAACAGGAUUAGAUACCCUGGUAGUCCACGCUGUAAACGAUGAAUACUAGGUGUGGGGGGACUAACCCCCUCCGUGCCGCAGUUAACACAAUAAGUAUUCCACCUGGGGAGUACGGCCGCAAGGUUG
Molecule: ribosomal RNA, 371 nt
Filed under: uncultured organism
Description: bacterial SSU rRNA
Rfam family: Bacterial small subunit ribosomal RNA
Source: RNAcentral